Molecule: long non-coding RNA, 1025 nt
Organism: Papaver somniferum (opium poppy)
Lineage: Eukaryota; Viridiplantae; Streptophyta; Magnoliopsida; Ranunculales; Papaveraceae
Exons: 2
Source: RefSeq, a predicted model, not a curated record
CGUACCUACAUAAACCAAAUCUCGCUUCAUAAGAAAAGAAACCGAGUCGGAUCUUAUUUCUCUCUGAUUUGGUCUCAGUUCUCCAUUGGAGCUUCAAUUUACUGGUAAAUCUUAACAUCUUCGUAUUUUGUAAACCAUAGAUAUAUGAUUCAGUCUUUAAAUCUACAAAUCCCUUGUCUCAGAUUUCCGACGACUUACUAAAACUCUGGAACACCAGUUAAUUUCUUGAUCCGUACCAGUUCCUCGGAAAUGGUUUAGAUUGGACCGUGAUGGGUCUCACAAGCUUGGCAGGGGCGGAUAUGGUUUUGUUUUUAGGGAUUCUGGCUAUAAUCCACUACGGUGGAUAUGGAAGAUCGUCUAUAUAUCCUUGUCAAUAGUUUUUAUCACGAAUUGGAAGCUAUAUACCAAGGAUUGAAGGCUGUGACUGAUAGAGAGGCUAUGAUUGUUAGAAGAUCAUGAACCGAUAAGAUUUUCAUUUACAGGGACAAUAGAAGAGCAAUACAAUUGAUCCACAACUCCAGAAUCAAAUAUGGGAGCUUCUCCGUACACUGGUUUGUAAUAUCAACUUCCUUCUAGCUACAAACCAAGAUGGUCCCCGAAAGUUUUUUUUUUUUUUUUUUUUUUUUUAAUAAAAGGUUAAAAUCAAUAUAACGUGGUGGUGGUCUCAUCAAGUAGGGUUUGUAUUGACUGCAAAGCAACCAAGAUACCAUCAUGGAGAACUGGCUGUUCAGGUUCUAAGACCCUUUGCAAUGCAUGUGGAAACAGACACAGGAUGAAAAAGAAAACACAGGUCAAGUUACUUAAAAUGAAAUACAAAGAACUUCACCAAGAACAGAAGCUGCAUGCCUGUUGAUGGCAUUGUCUUGUUCUGCUUAUGCUCUUCUAAUUUCAUGUGGCAGAGGAAGCAAGCAGUCUAAGAAUUAGUAUCAGAAGUCAAAGUCAGCUUAUACUCUCACAUCUUUACUGUUUCAGGGCACGUCUCAAAGAAUACUCAACCUUAAUUAAAUCACACUAAUUACUCUUAA